RNAcentral lists this ribosomal RNA (450 nucleotides) under uncultured bacterium. RNAcentral describes it as "partial 16S ribosomal RNA". It matches the Rfam family "Bacterial small subunit ribosomal RNA", at positions 354 to 796 of the family's 1533-position model. The record is from RNAcentral.
GUGGGGAAUUUUGGACAAUGGGCAAAAGCCUGAUCCAGCCAUGCCGCGUGCAGGAUGAAGGCCUUCGGGUUGUAAACUGCUUUUGUACGGAACGAAAAGACUCCUUCUAAUAAAGGGGGUCCAUGACGGUACCGUAAGAAUAAGCACCGGCUAACUACGUGCCAGCAGCCGCGGUAAUACGUAGGGUGCAAGCGUUAAUCGGAAUUACUGGGCGUAAAGCGUGCGCAGGCGGUUAUAUAAGACAGAUGUGAAAUCCCCGGGCUCAACCUGGGAACUGCAUUUGUGACUGUAUAGCUAGAGUACGGUAGAGGGGGAUGGAAUUCCGCGUGUAGCAGUGAAAUGCGUAGAUAUGCGGAGGAACACCGAUGGCGAAGGCAAUCCCCUGGACCUGUACUGACGCUCAUGCACGAAAGCGUGGGGAGCAAACAGGAUUAGAAACCCGAGUAGUCC